RNAcentral lists this ribosomal RNA (465 nucleotides) under uncultured bacterium. RNAcentral's name for it is "partial 16S ribosomal RNA". It matches the Rfam family "Bacterial small subunit ribosomal RNA", at positions 28 to 507 of the family's 1533-position model. The record is from RNAcentral.
GAUGAACGCUGGCGGCGUGCUUAACACAUGCAAGUCGAACGGACAGGCGCGUGCUUGCAGGGGUUCUCGAUUGGCGAACGGGGGAGUAACACGUGUGUGAACUGCCCUGCACUUCGGGAUAAGCCUUGGGAACUGCGUCUCUUACCGGGUAGGACAUUUUUUUCGAUGUCAUUGUGGAAAGUUGUUCGGUGUUGGUUUGGCUUGUGGCUUAUCGGCUUGUUGGUGGGGUAAUGGCAUACCAAGGCGCCGACCGAUAGCCGGCAUGAGAGGGUGUACGCGGACAUUGGGACUGAGAUACGGCCCAGACUCGUACGGGAGGCAGCAGUGGGGAACAUUACGCAACGGGCGCAAGUGUGAUACAGCGACGUCGCGUUGGGGAUGACGGCCUACGGGUUGUAAACACCUGUCGCUGGAGACGAACCGAAAGUGACGGUACCUGGAGAAGAAGCACCGGCUAACUACGUG